GGGAUUGCCCUAGUAACGGCGAGUGAAGCGGCAACAGCUCAAAUUUGAAAGCUGGCUCUCGGGCCCGCAUUGUAAUUUGCAGAGGAUGCUUCUGGCGACGCGCCUUCCGAGUUCCCUGGAACGGGACGCCAUAGAGGGUGAGAGCCCCGUCCGGUCGUGCGCCUAGCCUCUGUGAAGCUCCUUCGACGAGUCGAGUAGUUUGGGAAUGCUGCUCAAAAUGGGAGGUAUACGUCUUCUAAAGCUAAAUACCGGCCAGAGACCGAUAGCGCACAAGUAGAGUGAUCGAAAGAUGAAAAGCACUUUGAAAAGAGAGUUAAAAAGUACGUGAAAUUGUUGAAAGGGAAGCGCUCAUGACCAGACUUGGGCUGGCCCGAUCAUCCGGCGUUCUCGCCGGUGCACUCGGGCCGCCCAGGCCAGCAUCAGCUUUCGCCGGGGGAUAAAGGCGGCGGGAAUGUGGCUCCCUCGGGAGUGUUAUAGCCCGCCGUGCAAUACCCUGGUGGGGGCUGAGGUUCGCGCGUAUGCACGGAU
RNAcentral lists this ribosomal RNA (528 nucleotides) under Trichothecium roseum. Its description in RNAcentral is "eukaryotic LSU rRNA". It matches the Rfam family "Eukaryotic large subunit ribosomal RNA", at positions 71 to 628 of the family's 3401-position model. Lineage: Eukaryota; Fungi; Ascomycota; Sordariomycetes; Hypocreales. The record is from RNAcentral.